CUCUCAGAUAGGCUUUAAUGCUAAUGAGUCAUCAUGAACUGUGUGGGAACAUGUUGCGCUAUGCAGAUCUAUGAACAGCUGUGGAAUAACUUCGCGUAUUUAAUAAGGACGUUAAAAUGUCUUCAUAUUUUAGUCUGUUUGUAUUUUUGUACACAAUCAGUCUACCUGAUCAAUCAUUCGGUGAAAUGUUUACUUCUAUGAUGAGCGUGAAUCAAGCCGUUUUCUCAGAAAGACAACUCGUCGAUCUUUUACAAAUAUACUUAGAGCACGAAAAGCAAAGACUUAACGAUAUUAAAAGGUUCUUUUCAAGAGUUACAGCAUUGCAUACUGGGAUAUACAGUGGAUCAUCAUCUACAAUAGCUAAUCCUGUUGCUGCAUUCAAACUGGUCAAAAGACUUCAGUCUGAAUGGUUCAAUGUGGUUUACAGCAAUGAAGCCAAAGAAAACCUUCAAGCCCUUAGGGAUGGCUACGGUAGGAUAGAAGGCAGCUUACCCAAGCUGGAGGACCUUCAGGGAGCAGCACAGGGGCUGAUGAGACUUCAGGAUGUGUAUGAUCUUCAUGUAGAGGGACUUGUGAGAGGUCAUUUCCAGCAAAUGACAAAUGGAAAUGCUGUUGACAUUUACAACCCCCUUGUGUCUGACACACUCUCUGGGGACGAUUGCUUCCUGAUUGGAAAGGUGGCGUACGAUUUGGAAGAUUACUACCAUUCUACGCAGUGGUUUGAGGAGGCUGUUCAGCAGUUACGAGGAACUAAAUGGAGUCCAGAAAAUGAAGGGACACUUGAAGAUGCCCUUGACCAUUUAGCUUUCUCCCAUUUCAAGACAGGAAACAUAUCAUCCGCCCUCAGUCUCUCUCAGGAACUAUUGCUUCAUGAUCCCAUGAACAGAAGGAUACUUUUAAAUGUCAACAAGUAUGAAAAACUCCUUGUUGAAAGUCCCCUCGUCACUAGCCAAAGCUUGUCUUUCAAAAGGCCCAACACCACCUAUCUCAGAACCAGGACUGCCUAUGAAAAGCUUUGCCAAACAAAAGGAUCUCAGCCAAAACAUUAUGAGAACCCCAGGCUUUUCUGUGACUAUUUCACCAAUGGCAACCCUGGUCUCCUUCUGCAACCAAUAAAGCGAGAGCUGAUCAGUCUGGAUCCCUAUGCUGUGCUUUUCCAUGGUUUUGUCACCCAUGCUGAGGCAAAAAGCAUCAGAGACUAUGCAGUGCCAGGGCUAAGAAGAUCAGUGGUGGCAUCAGGAGUAAAUCAGGCCACUGCAGAAUAUCGCAUCAGCAAGAGUGCUUGGCUUAAAGAGUCAACUCAUGCAGUUGUGGGCAAGUUGGACCGGCGCAUCACUAUGGUCACUGGGUUGAAUGUGCAGCCUCCUUAUGCUGAAUACCUCCAAGUUGUUAACUACGGCAUUGGAGGACACUAUGAACCUCAUUUUGACCAUGCCACAUCUGACUCCAGCCCAUUGUACAAACUAAAAACCGGAAAUCGAGUGGCUACGUUCAUGAUAUAUCUGAGCUCUGUGGAAGCAGGAGGAUGUACAGCCUUUAUUUAUGCCAACUUCAGUGUUCCUGUAGUGGAGAAUGCUGCUCUCUUCUGGUGGAAUCUUUAUAGAAAUGGACAAGGAAAUGGCAACACUCUUCAUGCUGGCUGUCCAGUCAUUGUUGGCGAUAAGUGGGUUGCCAAUAAGUGGGUUCAUGAGUAUGGGCAGGAGUUCCGGCGACGUUGUAGCCUCAAUCCUGAGGAGUGAAGGGAAUAAAAGAAGGGUCUUGAACCACUUGGAAUACAAGAAUCAAUCACCAUAAAGGAAUAACAGAGGCUAGAGGGGGAAUUAAAAGCUGACAAUGAAAGGCGAAAGCAGUCGAGAGCUGCCACCGGCCUUCAUAGGUGAUUUUAGACCCUACAUGGAUCAUUUUCAUGGAGGUCUAAAGAGCACUGGGAAAAAGAGGGACUGCCGGUGUGUGUGUGUGUGUGUGUGUGUGUGUGUGUGUGUGUGUGUGUGUGUGUGUGUGUGUGUGUGUGUGUGUGUGUGUGUUGGGGAGUCCUUUAGCAAGCAGCCCUAAAGGCAAGCUGACCUCUUGUUCCUUCUUUCCAGGUGCCCAGAUAUAUGAUGAAAAUGGAAAAUACAGAUGUUUACAUGACUGUGUAAUGUUGAUUUGUUUGAUGUAGUUUUAGAGAACAGGUGUUCUGACAAACUAUUUAAAAUCCGUUCUUAUAAUUACAAUUACAAUAAUUCAUCCACUUGAGCAUUUGUGCACGGUUUGUACACUUGUAUGUGUCCUAUAGUAUCUUUUGACUCAGAAAACAUCUGCACAUGUGGCUAGGAGUUGCUUGGAACCUGCAAAGCAAACAAAAUUAAAAUCAGCAAUAAUUCAUCCUGAGUCAGCCGUUUCACAAUGUCAGGAUGCAACUUGAUGAUUUUAUCAUUAAAAAUGGCAUGCAAAGUGCAUUAAGAUCAUAUCAGCCCAAUCUUGGCGUCGCUACAUUGGCUACCUGUUAAAUUACGUAUUCAUUUUAAAAUACAUCUAACUACUUACAAAGCCUUGAAUGGUCUAGCUCCACAGUACUUAUGUGAGCUUCCAUCACGUUCACUAAGAAGCAUAAUUUUGGCCUGUUAAUAAUACCUAGAAUAUCAAAAUCCACAAAAGGAGGUGGAUCCUUUUCCUAUUUGGCUCCUAAACUAUGGAAGUCUUCCUAGCUUUGUUCGUGACUCAGACACACACUCUCAGUUUAAGUCUAGACUAAAGACUCAUCUUUUCAGCCAGGCAUACACCUAAUUUAUCUAUCAACUCGUAGUUAGGCUGCAUUAGUUAGGUCUGCCGGAAACACAUCUCAUAUUCUAUAAUCCUGUUUUAAAGUGAAUUGCAUCUACGCUAAUAAUAUUCUGUUAGUUUCCCUGUCUUAACCUCGGGAUAUCCUGAGGCUACCAGAGCCUGCCAGAUCCAGCUCUGGUCCUGCAUGGUGUCCAACUCCCACUACUACGUGUUGCUGAGUGAUGACAACUAACUGCAGCCUGUGCCAGCCAGAUAUCACUUCAGUCUACUAUGAUGGACUUCACAGAGGAUGAACUAAUGCCAGCACCAACCGUCAGACAUGGGAUACUUCACUGGACACUGCCUGAAACUUGGACUUACGAUGGACUCCACUAGGAAUGAAUCUGCCACAAGCUUACAGUUGAACUGCAGCGCACCUUACUGGCCUCUGCCUGCAUCACCUUGGUCAAAGGAUGGACUACACUCUUAAAAUGGAAUACAUAGAGAGCGAGAUGAUAAUAUUCAGUCAAGGGCAGAAACUGAUGUGGCAGGGACCUCAGCAAACAGCAUUCAAUAAGAGAAGGCUGGUCAAUCUAAGAUAAUUGCAUCAAUCUCAAACAUCUGCUGAUUAGGAACCACAUCGAUCUCAAAUCCUCGCCACUCAAGAACAGCCAUAACAACAACAAAUUGCGGUAAGUCAUUGCAUGGCAUCAGCUCAUGUUAUUUCUUCCUGCAUUACAUGCCACAUGUUUACUACAGCUUGUUCUGUCAGCAGUGAGGGAUUCACAUGUGAUAAAUGUAAGGAAUUAGUCAGGCUGAUGGAGAAGGUUAAUGAGCUAGAGACACACAUCCGAACGCUAGGGGAGGUCAGUGAGAAAGAGAAGCUGGUAGAUACUGUUUCGGAUGUGGGUAGAACAGCAACCAACACGCACACUUUGGUUCCGGCUCUAGAGCCCCCGCAGCAGGGUGACUGGGUGACGUCUCGGCGGCAUCCUCUCUCAGAAAAGCAACAACACUCUCCCGUUCCUGUUAGGUUUCUACAGAGAAGUGGAAUAUAUGAACAGUUUCAGUCAGGAUUUAGGCCCCAUCACAGUAAAGAGAUUGCAGUUAUCAGAGUUACAAAUGACUCGUUCUUAUCAUCUGAUCAUGGCUGCAUUUCUCUUCUAGUGCUUUUAGAUCUUAGUGCUGCCUUCGACAUAAUAGAUCACAACAUUCUCUUAAAUAGGCUGGAGAAUUAUGUUGGCAUUUGUGGACUUGCAUUAGCAUGGUUUGGAUCCUAUUUAUCAGACCACUACCACUUUGUAUGUGUAAACGAGGAAUUGUCAAAUCAAACAAAAGUUAAGUAUGGAGUGCCACAGGGAUCAGUUUUAAGACCUCUGCUUUUCUCCUAAUACAUGCUUCCCCUGGGAGAUAUUAUCAGGAAUCAUGGAAUAAGUUUUCACUGUUAUGCCGACAAAAUUCAACUUUAUAUUUCUUCUAAUCCCAAUGAAAAAUCACAAUUCUCCAAAUUAGCAGUGUAUCAAUGAAAUCAAAGAUUGGAUGGCCAGAAAUUUCCUUCUACUCAAUUCAGACUAAUGAUUGGACCAAAAACCUCUAAAAAUAAGCUGAUAAAUAUAUAAUUUGACACUCGAUGGAUGUACUGUUACAUCGUCUUCAUCAGCAAAGAACUUAGGUGUUAUAUUUGUUACCAAUCUGUCCUUUGAAAAUCAAAUUUCCAAUGUUUGUAGAACAGCAUUCUUCCACCUAAGAAAUAUUGCUAAAUUACGACACAUGCUUAGUUGCUGGUGCCGAAAAAUUAAUUAAUGCGUUCAUGAACUCAAAACUAGAUUAUUGUAAUGCAUUAAUGGUAGGAUGUCCAGCAAGUUCAAUAAAUAAACUUCAAUUGGUUCAAAAUGCAGCUGCCUAAAUAUGAUCAUAUUAGCCCAAUUUUAUCAUCGUUACAUUGGCUGCCUGUUAAAUUUCGUAUUAUUUUAAAAUUCUGUUAACUAAGUACAAAGCUUUGAAUGAUCUAACUCCGCAGUACUUAAGUGACCUUCUGACAUGCUAUAUUCCAUCACGUUCAUUACGAUCACAAAAUUCUGGCUUGUUAAUAAUUCCAAGAAUAUCAAAAUCCACAAAAGGAGGUAGAUCCUUUUCAUAUUUUGCUCCUAAACUAUGGAGUAGUCUCCCUAACAGUGUUCGAGAUGCAGACAUACUCACUCAGUUUAAGUCUAGACUAAAGACUCAUCUAUUUAGCCAGGCAUACACCUGAUUUAUCCAUCAACUCACAAUUAGGCUGAUUUAGUUAGGUCUGCCGGAACCAGAAACAUCCAUCAUGAUCUAUAACUCUGCAUAAAAUUGAAUGGCAUCUACGCUAAUAUUAUUCUACUUGUUUCCAUGUCUGAUUCAUGUCCUGAGGUUACCAGAGCCUGCCAGAUCCAGCUCCAUUCCUGCUUGGUGUCAGACUCCACUUCUACAUGUGGCUGAGAGAUGACGACAAACUUCAGCCGGUGCUAGCCAGACAUCACUCCAGUUUUUUUUACUUCAGAGGAUGAACUGAUGCCAACUCCAACUGUAAGACAUCAGAUGCUUCAUAUGCCAUUGCCUGAACCUUGGACUUAGGAUGGACCCCACUGAACCUCACCAAAAUGCCCUGCAGGUUGAACUGCGAUGCACCUCAUUGAUCUCUGCCUGCAUCACCUUUUACUAUUGAUGGACUACACUCUUGAAAUGGAAAACAUAGACUAUCAUUUACUUGCCAGCUUACAAAGGACAAUACAUCUAUGUGGACUUCUGCAGUUAAUACAGGAUGGACUUCAAAGACAUUAGUCAUUAAUCUUAAAGUUCAUUAAAAAAAAUAAAAUCUUUUCAUUUUUAAAACACUGGACCUUAACUCUUACUUAAUUUACACAUUUAAAACCACGAGACAUUUAAUUUGUUGUUCAAGAGCAUAUUUUAUUUGCAGUGGAUGUUCAUCUAAGACUGUGACAGUAACACAGAUUCAAUUGUUGCAGUGUUUGCUGGUUUGAUCUAGGGCUGAACGAUUAACUGAAUUAAAAUCAAAAUCAUGAUAUGACACAGCGCGAUUUUCAAACCGCGAGGGCUGCGAUAUAAUUUAAUAAAUAUAUAGUCUUAACGCGCUGCCCACUGUGCUGCACCUAUUUGCACGGCUCUUUUGUCUGUAGUAUGUAGUGCUUUCUUAAAUACAUAGGGAUCAUUGUAAUACACAUGUGGUUUUAGAGGGGUUCUGUGAUCCAUACACACAAUUUCACUGCAUUAAAAGGCUGUUGUCAGCUCCACUUCAAAUAACAGAAACUUCCGUCCCUUCAGUUUUCAAAAUAAAAGCUUCCGCCGAAAUUGGUUUGAAAAAAGGUUUUACCGGGACUCCAUAGUAAGUUAAGAAAUUAUUAAAUAAAUAAAUUACUAUUAAAUAAUAAUAAUAAUAAAUUACAAUAGUAAUAAUGAUAAUUAUAAUUAUAUGAUAAUAUAUUUCUAUAAUAAUUUCUCAACUUAACAUUAUUAUUAUUGCAAUAAUAUAAUAUUCAAGUUGACUGGGUUUAAAAAAAAAUAAUGAUGAAAAGUGAACUGACGCUUUCACAAACUGGACAAUUUUUUUUUUUUUUUUUUUUACAAAGCAAAGAAUGUGAUUGUGAUGCUUUCCCCCCUCUUUUGCACUGUUUUAUUUUUUAUUUAGUUUGGUUUUUUUAAAGGACUCAAGUGUGAACACCCUUUCUAGAACAGUAUUUCUGGUCAGCAGUGAAGCAUGGGCAAAACAUGGUUUAAUUUUCGUUAAAAUGAAUCAGGUUUUUUUUUUUUUUUUAUCAUAUCGCAGUUCAAAUUGCAAUCGCACUUUUUUUUCAGAAUAAUUGCAAUUAUAUUUUUUUUCAAUUAUCGCAAUUGAAAUUAUAGCAAUUAUCGUGCUCUUGUUGUUGUACCUCCCCCUUUCCUUCAGUAGACUCUGUGUGUUAGCACCAGUUGUAAUCACACAGAGAGUGUACCUUCUUUAUUUGAAUUAUCUGUU
Molecule: RNA transcript, 6742 nt
Organism: Myxocyprinus asiaticus (Chinese sucker)
Lineage: Eukaryota; Metazoa; Chordata; Actinopteri; Cypriniformes; Catostomidae
Gene: p4ha3
Gene name: prolyl 4-hydroxylase, alpha polypeptide III
Exons: 15
Source: RefSeq, a predicted model, not a curated record